Molecule: unclassified non-coding RNA, 236 nt
Filed under: Acaulospora lacunosa
Lineage: Eukaryota; Fungi; Glomeromycota; Glomeromycetes; Diversisporales; Acaulosporaceae
Description: partial contains 5.8S ribosomal RNA and internal transcribed spacer 2
Rfam family: 5.8S ribosomal RNA (bases 1-71)
Source: RNAcentral
GUGAAUCAUCAAAUCUUUGAACGCAAAUUGCACUCUCUGGUAUUCCGGGGAGUAUGUUUGUUUGAGGGUUAGUUUGUUACAAUAGUAUAAAGAAAUUUUUACGGAUAUGGAUUUUCGAACAGUUAUAUUUUUGGUAAUCUAAAAUUUAUUAUAACAUAAGGUGAUAUUGGAAAUGUUUAUAUUUAAUUCAUUAAUCAUUAUUACCAACUUUGUUAAGUUGUGUUAUCUUACUAAUU